CGACCUCAGAUCAGGCGGGACUACCCGCCGGAUUUAAGCAUAUUAAUAAGCGGAGGAAAAGAAAACAACCGUGAUUCCCCCAGUAGCGGCGAGCGAACAGGGAAAAGCCCAUCGCCGAAUCCCGCCGCGCACUUUUCGUGUUGCGGCACGUAUGGGAGUUGUGGCGUACGGGCCGGCCUCGUUGCCGGGGCGCACGCGACGGUCCAAGUCUCCCUUGAACGGGGCCAUGGCCCGCAGAUGGUGCCAGGCCAGUAGAGGCCGUCGCAGCGCUCCGGGAUCGGACCGCGCCUUCGAGUCGGGUUGCUUGAGAGUGCAGCCCGAAGCGGGUGGUAAACUCCAUCUAAGGCUAAAUACGGCCACGAGACCGAUAGUGGACAAGUACCGUGAGGGAAAGUUGAAAAGAACUUUGAAGAGAGAGUUCAUAAGAACGUGAAACCGUUCGGGUGUAAACGGACAGAGCCCGCGAGUCCACGCCGGGCGAAUUCACGGUCGGUCACGGCCGGCCGGAUCUUUCGCCCGGUUCACGGACGUCGCGACUCGUUGGGCGCCGGCCGAAGGGCCCGGGUGGCGGUUCUGCGCGGCGGCAGCGCUCCGGCGUUACCGUCCCGUGCCGAACCCCGGUGCUCCUGGUCGGCUCGCCCGACGGCACGAACCGUCGACGCGGCCCCGUCGCAGGCGGGGUCCCGUCGGUCGGCGACGAGUUUCGGGCUACUUUCCGACCCGUCUUGAAACACGGACCAAGGAGUCUAACGUGUGCGCGAGUCAACGGUGAACAUGCAAAUGUACAACGAAAAACCACGUUUGGCGCAAUGAAAGUGAAUUAUUUUACGGACGAUGGCCUAGCGACCGAACCCACCGGCGUUCAAAGUCGCGCUGGUCCGCAGUCCGGGGGCGUCUCCGCCAGGUCGGCUUCGGCCGUCCGGGGGCGCACCCAUAGCGCACACGUUGGUACCCGAAAGAUGGUGAACUAUGCCUGGCCAGGAUGAAGUCAGGGGAAACCCUGAUGGAGGUCCGCAGCGAUUCUGACGUGCAAAUCGAUCGUCUGAGCUGGGUAUAGGGGCGAAAGACUAAUCGAACCAUCUAGUAGCUGGUUCCAUCCGAAGUUUCCCUCAGGAUAGCUGGCGCCGAUGUGUCCCGCCCGUUCGCGGGCGUAAGGACGCCGGUGGGACUCCGCGCUGUACGGCGCGGUAACAACACGCUCGUAACACGGAGGAUGUCUCAUACGGUAAAGCGAAUGAUUAGAGGACAUUGGGGCCGAAACGACCUCAACCUAUUCUCAAACUAUAAAUGGGUGAGAUCGCCGGCUUUACCUGGUACACCGCGUGAACCGCGUGCGAAGCCGGCGACGGAACCCUAGGCGCUUAGUGGGCCAUUUUUGGUAAGCAGAACUGGCGCUGCGGGAUGAACCGAACGCCGAGUUAAGGCGCCGAAAUCGACGCGUAUUCAGAGACCAUGAAAGGCGUUGGUUGCUGAUGACAGCAGGACGGUGGCCAUGGAAGUCGGAAUCCGCUAAGGAGUGUGUAACAACUCACCUGCCGAAGCAACUAGCUCUGAAAAUGGAUGGCGCUGGAGCGUCGUGCCUAUACUCGGCCGUCGGCGGCACAGUGGGGCCGGCCUCGGUCGGCCCCGGCAAGCCCCGACGAGUAGGAUGGCGCGGCGGUGUGCGUCGAAGGGCAGGUCGCGAGACCGCCUGGAGCCGCCGUCGGUGCAGAUCUUGGUGGUAGUAGCAAAUACUCGAGAGGGGCCCUCGGGGGCUGCCGUGGAGAAGGGUUUCUUGUGAACAGCCGUUGUCCAAGAGUCAGUCGAUCCUAAGCCCGGGGAGAGAUCCUCGUACCACGGGCGAAGGCGUUUUCGAAUCGCCCAUGGGGCGAGAGGGAAUCCGGUCCGUAUUCCGGAACCCGACGCGGAACCGCUCCCUAGUGUUCGGGGCUCUUUUGUCUCGUCCGGGUAACCGGAAUGAACUCGAAGAAGCCGCCGGGGUGUCCGGGAAGAGUUCUCUUUUCUCUGUGAGCGUUGUACGUCCCUGGAAUCCUCUAGCCGGGCGAUAGGGACGCGAGCGCGAAGAGCACCGCUCGUUGCGGCGGUGUCCGUGACACCCACGCGGACCUUGAAAAUUCGAGAGAGGGCCACGCGGAGUCUUCGCGUCGGUUCGUACCGAUAUCCGCAGCAGGUCUCCGAGGUGAGCAGCCUCUAGCCGCAUAGAAUAAUGUAGGUAAGGGAAGUCGGCAAAACCGAUCCGUAACUUCGGGAUAAGGAUUGGCUCUGAGGAGCGUGGCGGAUCGGGUUCGGGUCGUCGUAGAAGCGUAGGCGGUGCUGGCGACACCCCGGCCGUCGCCCGUGCGGCCGGUCUUCGGACCGGCAGCCUCGAGG
This is a non-coding RNA of Picea glauca (white spruce), 2370 nucleotides long. NCBI's taxonomy places the organism in Eukaryota, Viridiplantae, Streptophyta, Pinopsida, Pinales, Pinaceae. The record is from Rfam.